GCCUCAAUCAUAUGUUACACUUCUCUCUCUUUGUAUAGAGGCUAAGAGGCUCAAGCACUCUUCUUUUUCAUUUCAUCCUGAUGGCUUUCAAAGUCCAUUUCCCAACUCUUGCACUGGCCUUCCUUCUUCUUUUUGUCUUUCAGGUCUGUUGCUUUGAGGUAGUUGGUGGACCUGGGAAGGUUAUUGCAGAUGAUUCCAUCCCCAAAUGGUGGCAACGGCUGGGUUUUCCCCAUGCCUGAUUGCGGAAAAUUGUGUGGAGUGCGGUGUAGCAAGCACUCAAGGCCGAACUUGUGCAAAAGGGCGUGCGGCACGUGCUGCUUCAGGUGCAAGUGUGUACCACCAGGCACAUAUGGUAACCGGGAGGUGUGCGGAUCCUGCUACGUCAAUAUGACUACUCAUCAUAACAAGCCCAAAUGCCCUUAAAAUUAUAUAUAUAUAUAUAUAUAUAUUUCUCUUUGUUUUGUGUGUGUGUAUGUGUGUGUGUAUGUGUUUGCCUGUUGUUAAUUAUGUAAAUUUUGUCUUUGUUUUGUGUGUGUGUGUGUUUGCUGUUGUUAAUUAAAUAUGUGAAUAUUCUCUUAAGUAGAUGUUAUCUUACUUUACUUUUGUGCAUGUGGUGUGGUGUGUUGUGGUGAUCUAUAUAUGCUGCUGCUUGUUAGUACUCUGGCUUGUUUGUACU
Dioscorea cayenensis subsp. rotundata (Guinea yam) is the source of this 676-nucleotide RNA transcript. It is a transcript of the gene named gibberellin-regulated protein 14-like, with no coding region annotated. The transcript has 4 exons. Lineage: Eukaryota; Viridiplantae; Streptophyta; Magnoliopsida; Dioscoreales; Dioscoreaceae. The record is from RefSeq and is a predicted model, not a curated record.